UCCCCUGUGGCACAAUUGGUCAGCGCGUAAGUGUCUCCAAAAAUUCAGUCGACUGUUAAUUUCUCAAACUAACGGUAAAAAUUAGGUCAGACUGUUAAGACAUUUCAUCUGGAGGUUCGUGGUUCGAGACCACGCGGGGGAG
This is a non-coding RNA of Exophiala mesophila, 142 nucleotides long. The record is from the annotation of a RefSeq genome assembly. NCBI's taxonomy places the organism in Eukaryota, Fungi, Ascomycota, Eurotiomycetes, Chaetothyriales, Herpotrichiellaceae.